GCAGGAAGACUACCUGCUUUGAUAGGCAGCAUGUGUAAGCGCAGUAAUGCGUUCAGCUAAGCUGUACUAAUGGCCGAGGGCUUAAUCAC
RNAcentral lists this non-coding RNA (89 nucleotides) under Chloroflexi bacterium RBG_19FT_COMBO_50_10. Its description in RNAcentral is "partial 23S ribosomal RNA". It matches the Rfam family "Bacterial large subunit ribosomal RNA", at positions 2836 to 2925 of the family's 2925-position model. The record is from RNAcentral. Lineage: Bacteria; Bacillati; Chloroflexota.